Galeopterus variegatus (Sunda flying lemur) is the source of this 236-nucleotide long non-coding RNA. RefSeq lists it as uncharacterized. Lineage: Eukaryota; Metazoa; Chordata; Mammalia; Dermoptera; Cynocephalidae. The transcript has 3 exons. The record is from RefSeq and is a predicted model, not a curated record.
GCGCCGGACCCCCAGCGCGGAAGCUCGCCCACGGAGGUCGCGACGGAAGUCUGGACCGCCGAGGCGUGUGGCUCGCCUACCGGCAGAUGUUCCUUUGAUGCAUGAUAGUGACUCUGCUCUUCUGCCUGAGAGUGUUUCAAAAUCCGGCCCCUGCGAGAUAUAGAGGACACCUCCUGUUUUCCACUUGGCCUGGAGAUCACUGAUUUAUAGUGCAGAGGUACUGGAGGCACCCGAAC